AAGUCGUAACAAGGUCUCCGUAGGUGAACCUGCGGAGGGAUCAUUAACACGUAUCCAAACGUUUACCCCCCAAUUGUGAUUUUAGUCCUACGUGAAAGGUCGUCUGGCGGUAUAGGUGUAAAGGACUGUAUAGAAUCAGCCUCCGUCAGGCGUGUACGUUGUGCAGUAAGCGCUCCCGACAGAUCGUAGCGUAACCAAAAGCACCGGUUGCUAGGGCACCAUUGGCGUGGUCAUUAGGGCACCAUUCCUUAACAGUAUCUAAUCCUUUGGGUUCUAGUAGCCUUAUUAACAAAAACCACUAAAACUCAAUUACUGAACGGGCUUGUGACCGAAAGGUGCAGGCUACUACGAAAAACGAACAACUCUUAGCAACGGAUAUCUUGGUUCUCGUACCGAUGAAGAAUGCAGC
RNAcentral lists this unclassified non-coding RNA (409 nucleotides) under fungal sp. Its description in RNAcentral is "partial internal transcribed spacer region". The stretch from base 1 to 46 matches the Rfam family "Eukaryotic small subunit ribosomal RNA", at positions 1786 to 1831 of the family's 1831-position model. The record is from RNAcentral. Lineage: Eukaryota; Fungi.